Molecule: long non-coding RNA, 505 nt
Organism: Fukomys damarensis (Damara mole-rat)
Lineage: Eukaryota; Metazoa; Chordata; Mammalia; Rodentia; Bathyergidae
Exons: 3
Source: RefSeq, a predicted model, not a curated record
GGUUGAUUUAAAGAUGGAAAGGGGAUGUAAAGUUCCCACCACAAGGUGGCGGCAAAUGACAGCCCAUAGUUCCUGAAACGCCCGCAGCGGCGGGUUGCCAGGUGACCUGCGGUCUUGGGAUCUUUGUUCCCGUCGGGUUCAUCCAGAGAACCCGCAGCUCUGCCUGGGCAUCACCACAGUUAGCUGAUGUUGCCAGCAGGAAAGGGAUGAAGCUGAUGCGCCCAGAGGAUGUGAUUUCCAAGUCUAGCUGAAAGAGAUCCAGACACCCUGCACCCAGAUGGGGAGCUAUUUCACCAGGUGGGAUCACUCGUUUGCCUCCAGGGCGCCCAAGGCCAGGGGGCAGAGGGUGGGAGAAGAGAACCCACCCUGCACCUCCUACUCCACCUCCAGGACCCUCCUCUGUCCCUUGUAGUUCUGAUGGCGCAGACAGCCCCUGCACCGCGGAGAAGUUAAGCCCACGACUGGUCCCUGUGGCAAUCACAAACUUGUGGCUUGAAAAACAAUA